AAUAUUGGACAAUGGGGGCAACCCUGAUCCAGCCAUGCCGCGUGUGUGAAGAAGGUCUUCGGAUUGUAAAGCACUUUAAGUUGGGAGGAAGGGUUUGAGGUUAAUACCAUGAAGUUUUGACGUUACCAACAGAAUAAGCACCGGCUAAAUCUGUGCCAGCCGCCGUGGUAAUCCAGAGGAUGCAAGCGUUAAUCGGAAUUACUGGGCGUAAAGCGCGCGUAGGUGGUUCAGUAAGAUGGGUGUGAAAUCCCCGGGCUUAACCUGGGAACUGCUUUCAUAACUGCUGAGCUAGAGUACGGUAGAGGGUAGUGGAAUUUCCUGUGUAGCGGUGAAAUGCGUAGAUAUAGGAAGGAACACCAGUGGCGAAGGCGACUACCUGGACUGAUACUGACACUGAGGUGCGAAAGCGUGGGGAGCAAAC
Molecule: ribosomal RNA, 421 nt
Filed under: uncultured bacterium
Lineage: Bacteria
Description: partial 16S ribosomal RNA
Rfam family: Bacterial small subunit ribosomal RNA
Source: RNAcentral